RNAcentral lists this ribosomal RNA (409 nucleotides) under Actinomycetes bacterium. RNAcentral's name for it is "Actinobacteria bacterium partial 16S ribosomal RNA". It matches the Rfam family "Bacterial small subunit ribosomal RNA", at positions 355 to 776 of the family's 1533-position model. The record is from RNAcentral. Lineage: Bacteria; Bacillati; Actinomycetota; Actinomycetes.
UGGGGAAUAUUGCACAAUGGGCGGAAGCCUGAUGCAGCGACGCCGCGUGGGGGAUGAAGGCCUUCGGGUUGUAAACUCCUUUCGACAGGGACGAAGCUUUUGUGACGGUACCUGUAUAAGAAGCACCGGCUAACUACGUGCCAGCAGCCGCGGUAAUACGUAGGGUGCGAGCGUUGUCCGGAAUUACUGGUCGUAAAGAGCUCGUAGGUGGUUUGUCGCGUCGUCUGUGAAAUUCCGGGGCUUAACUCCGGGCGUGCAGGCGAUACGGGCUGACUUGAGUGCUGUAGGGGAGACUGGAAUUCCUGGUGUAGCGGUGAAAUGCGCAGAUAUCAGGAGGAACACCGAUGGCGAAGGCAGGUCUCUGGGCAGUAACUGACGCUGAGGAGCGAAAGCAUGGGUAGCGAACAGG